GUUGACCUCGAAUCAGGUAGGAAUACCCGCUGAACUUAAGCAUAUCAAUAAGCGGAGGAAAAGAAACCAA
RNAcentral lists this ribosomal RNA (70 nucleotides) under Ustilaginoidea virens. RNAcentral's name for it is "partial 28S ribosomal RNA". It matches the Rfam family "Eukaryotic large subunit ribosomal RNA", at positions 1 to 68 of the family's 3401-position model. The record is from RNAcentral. Lineage: Eukaryota; Fungi; Ascomycota; Sordariomycetes; Hypocreales; Clavicipitaceae.